GACGAACGCUGGCGGCGUGCUUAACACAUGCAAGUCGAACGGAAAGGCCCUGCUUUUGUGGGGUGCUCGAGUGGCGAACGGGUGAGUAACACGUGAGUAACCUGCCCUUGACUUUGGGAUAACUUCAGGAAACUGGGGCUAAUACCGGAUAGGAGCUCCUGCUGCAUGGUGGGGGUUGGAAAGUUUCGGCGGUUGGGGAUGGACUCGCGGCUUAUCAGCUUGUUCGUGGGGUAGUGGCUUACCAAGGCUUUGACGGGUAGCCGGCCUGAGAGGGUGACCGGCCACAUUGGGACUGAGAUACGGCCCAGACUCCUACGGAAGGCAGCAGUGGGGAAUAUUGCACAAUGGGCGGAAGCCUGAUGCAGCAACGCCGCGUGCGGGAUGGCGGCCUUCGGGUUGUAAACCGCUUUCGCCUGUGACGAAGCGUGAGUGACGGUAAUGGGUAAAGAAGCACCGGCUAACUACGUG
RNAcentral lists this ribosomal RNA (468 nucleotides) under uncultured bacterium. RNAcentral describes it as "partial 16S ribosomal RNA". It matches the Rfam family "Bacterial small subunit ribosomal RNA", at positions 28 to 507 of the family's 1533-position model. The record is from RNAcentral.